UACGGAGGGUGCAAGCGUUGUUCGGAAUUAUUGGGCGUAAAGCGCGUGUAGGCGGCUUUGCAAGUCGGGUGUGAAAGCCCUCAGCUCAACUGAGGAAGUGCGCCCGAAACUGCAGAGCUUGAGUACCGGAGAGGAUGGCGGAAUUCCCCAAGUAGAGGUGAAAUUCGUAGAUAUGGGGAGGAACACCGGUGGCGAAGGCGGCCAUCUGGACGGAUACUGACGCUGAGACGCGAAAGCGUGGGGAGCGAACAGG
RNAcentral lists this ribosomal RNA (253 nucleotides) under uncultured bacterium. RNAcentral describes it as "partial 16S ribosomal RNA". It matches the Rfam family "Bacterial small subunit ribosomal RNA", at positions 524 to 776 of the family's 1533-position model. The record is from RNAcentral.